UACGUAGGGGGCAAGCGUUGUUCGGAAUUACUGGGCGUAAAGCGUGCGCAGGCGGCUCCUUAAGUCAGAUGUGAAAGCCCCGGGCUUAACCUGGGAACUGCGUUUGAAACUGGGGAGCUAGAGUGUAGAAGAGGGGGGUGGAAUUCCAGGUGUAGCAGUGAAAUGCGUAGAUAUCUGGAGGAACACCGAUGGCGAAGGCAGCCCCCUGGGCUAACACUGACGCUCAUGCACGAAAGCGUGGGGAGCAAACAGG
Molecule: ribosomal RNA, 253 nt
Filed under: uncultured bacterium
Lineage: Bacteria
Description: partial 16S ribosomal RNA
Rfam family: Bacterial small subunit ribosomal RNA
Source: RNAcentral